GGAGAGACAUAUCGAUGCGUGGUUGCCUCUGUGAGUCCCCUGCUGGGAACUGGCCUGCAACCCGGGCAUGUGCCCUGACUGGGAAUCAAACCGUGAUUGUGUGGUUCGCAGUCCCAUGUUCAAUCCACUGAGCUACACCAGCCAGCUCCAAGAAACUUCAUUCAUGGAAACAAGCAAUGGGACUGGAUGAAAUUUUAUAGACAGUGGCAGAGCAGCCCCUCUCCGAGACACCCAGUUUCGCAGCAGAGAAAAAGCAGACGUGGAGAACAUGAGCAGUCUCUUAACACUUCUGCUCCGAAGGAGCAGGCAUCGCUGAGUCCACUUCUCAUUGGAAAAUAGGCUACAAGGGGAACAAAACAAAGGCAUCAAAAGAGACAAUUUACCACAAGCAAGACUGCACUUCCAGUUUGCCAGAACUCUCUGACUCUGCGCGUAGAUGGAAAGAUCACUUCUGUUGCAGAGAGAAGCCUUCUGGACACACGUCACAAAAGAUGUCUCACAAAGAAAAAAAGACAGCUUUUCUUGUUGCUCAUAAAAGUUCAGCAGGCAUAAACUCUGAA
Artibeus jamaicensis (Jamaican fruit-eating bat) is the source of this 560-nucleotide long non-coding RNA. RefSeq lists it as uncharacterized. The record is from RefSeq and is a predicted model, not a curated record. Lineage: Eukaryota; Metazoa; Chordata; Mammalia; Chiroptera; Phyllostomidae. The transcript is spliced from 4 exons.